UUCUUUUCCUUCUUCCUUUCUUUAUUUUGUGUUAAAGAUUUGGUAUCCAAUUGCAUACCAAGUGGUGAAAGCAUUAAGGAAUAAUUACAUCUUUUUCUAACUUUAAUCUUGAAUGAAUACACUGUAUGUUUGUUGCUGCUUGAGGGAGAGAUUUAUAACUAAGUUCCACUUUUAACAACAAAAGUAUGCUAGAUUGAAUGGCUAUACCAUUGGUUGAUUAGGGAAGAGGCUACAGGAGUAGAAUACAACUCAACUCAACUCAAUUAAG
RNAcentral lists this unclassified non-coding RNA (268 nucleotides) under Hevea brasiliensis (rubber tree). The record is from RNAcentral. Lineage: Eukaryota; Viridiplantae; Streptophyta; Magnoliopsida; Malpighiales; Euphorbiaceae.